RNAcentral lists this ribosomal RNA (876 nucleotides) under Paenibacillus sp. LKS-59. Its description in RNAcentral is "bacterial SSU rRNA". It matches the Rfam family "Bacterial small subunit ribosomal RNA", at positions 49 to 902 of the family's 1533-position model. The record is from RNAcentral. Lineage: Bacteria; Bacillati; Bacillota; Bacilli; Caryophanales; Paenibacillaceae.
CUAUACAUGCAAGUCGAGCGGGGUUGUGUAGAAGCUUGCUUCUAUAUAACCUAGCGGCGGACGGGUGAGUAACACGUAGGCAACCUGCCCACAAGACAGGGAUAACUACCGGAAACGGUAGCUAAUACCCGAUACAUCCUUUUCCUGCAUGGGAGAAGGAGGAAAGACGGAGCAAUCUGUCACUUGUGGAUGGGCCUGCGGCGCAUUAGCUAGUUUGUGGGGUAAAGGCCUACCAAGGCGACGAUGCGUAGCCGACCUGAGAGGGUGAUCGGCCACACUGGGACUGAGACACGGCCCAGACUCCUACGGGAGGCAGCAGUAGGGAAUCUUCCGCAAUGGGCGAAAGCCUGACGGAGCAACGCCGCGUGAGUGAUGAAGGUUUUCGGAUCGUAAAGCUCUGUUGCCAGGGAAGAACGUCUUGUAGAGUAACUGCUACAAGAGUGACGGUACCUGAGAAGAAAGCCCCGGCUAACUACGUGCCAGCAGCCGCGGUAAUACGUAGGGGGCAAGCGUUGUCCGGAAUUAUUGGGCGUAAAGCGCGCGCAGGCGGCUCUUUAAGUCUGGUGUUUAAUCCCGAGGCUCAACUUCGGGUCGCACUGGAAACUGGGGAGCUUGAGUGCAGAAGAGGAGAGUGGAAUUCCACGUGUAGCGGUGAAAUGCGUAGAGAUGUGGAGGAACACCAGUGGCGAAGGCGACUCUCUGGGCUGUAACUGACGCUGAGGCGCGAAAGCGUGGGGAGCAAACAGGAUUAGAUACNNCUGGUAGUCCACGCCGUAAACGAUGAAUGCUAGGUGUUAGGGGGUUUCGAUACCCUUGGUGNCGAAGUUAACACAUUAAGCAUUCCGCCUGGGGAGUACGGUCGCAAGACUGAAACUC